GCCUACGGGGGGCAGCAGUGAGGAAUAUUGGUCAAUGGGCGGGAGCCUGAACCAGCCAAGCCGCGUGAGGGAAGAAGGUGCAGCGUAUCGUAAACCUCUUUUGUCAGGGAACAAAGGCGGGGACUAGUCCCCGGAUGAGGGUACCUGAAGAAAAAGCAGCGGCUAACUCCGUGCCAGCAGCCGCGGUAAUACGGAGGAUGCGAGCGUUAUCCGGAUUUAUUGGGUUUAAAGGGUGCGCAGGCGGCCUGUUAAGUCAGCGGUAAAAACCCGGGGCUCAACCCUGGCGAGCCGUUGAAACU
This 299-nucleotide ribosomal RNA is filed under the name uncultured bacterium. RNAcentral's name for it is "partial 16S ribosomal RNA". It matches the Rfam family "Bacterial small subunit ribosomal RNA", at positions 337 to 634 of the family's 1533-position model. The record is from RNAcentral.